This 571-nucleotide ribosomal RNA is filed under the name uncultured archaeon. RNAcentral describes it as "bacterial SSU rRNA". It matches the Rfam family "Archaeal small subunit ribosomal RNA", at positions 52 to 631 of the family's 1478-position model. The record is from RNAcentral.
UGCGAGUCAUUGUAGCAUACAAGGCAGACGGCUCAGUAACGCGUAGUCAACCUACCUAUAGACGGGAAUAACCUCGGGAAACUGAGUAUAAUGCCCGAUAGAACACUAUACCUGGAAUGGUUUGUGUUUCAAAUGAUUUAUUGCCGUAGGAUGGGACUGCGGCCUAUCAGUUUGUUGGUGAGGUAAUGGCCCACCAAGACUAUUACAGGUACGGGCUCUGAGAGGAGUGGCCCGGAGAUGGGUACUGAGACACGGACCCAGGCCCUAUGGGGCGCAGCAGGCGAGAAAACUUUGCAAUGUGCGAAAGCACGACAAGGUUAAUCCGAGUGGUUUCUGCUAAAGGAACCUUUUGACAGUCCUAGAAACACUGUUGAAUAAGGGGUGGGCAAGUUCUGGUGUCAGCCGCCGCGGUAAAACCAGCACCUCAAGUGGUCAGGAUGAUUAUUGGGCCUAAAGCAUCCGUAGCCGGCUCAGUAAGUUUUCGGUUAAAUCUGUACGCUCGACGUACAGGCUGCCGGGAGUACUGCAUAGCUAGGGAGUGGGAGAAGUAGACGGUACUCGGUAGGAAGUG